GAUGAACGCUGGCGGCGUGCCUAAUACAUGCAAGUCGAGCGAACGGACGAGAAGCUUGCUUCUCUGCUGUUAGCGGCGGACGGGUGAGUAACACGUGGAUCACCUACCUCUAAUACUGGGAUAACUUCGGGAAACCGUAGCUAAUACCGGAUAAUAUUUUGAACCGCAUGGUUCAAAAGUGCAUGACGGUCUUGCUGUCACUUAUAGAUGGAUCCGCGUUGCAUUAGCUAGUUGGUAAGGUACCGGCUUACCAAGGCAACGAUGCAUAGCCGACCUGAGAGGGGGAUCGGCCACACUGGAACUGAGACACGGUCCAGACUCCUACGGGAGGCAGCAGUAGGGAAUCUUCCGCAAUGGGCGAAAGCCUGACGGAGCAACGCCGCGUGAGUGAUGAAGGUCUUCGGAUCGUAAAACUCUGUUAUCAGGGAAGAACAUAUGUGUAAGUAACUGUGCACAUCUUGACGGUACCUAAUCAGAAAGCCACGGCUAACUACGUG
RNAcentral lists this ribosomal RNA (497 nucleotides) under uncultured bacterium. Its description in RNAcentral is "partial 16S ribosomal RNA". It matches the Rfam family "Bacterial small subunit ribosomal RNA", at positions 28 to 507 of the family's 1533-position model. The record is from RNAcentral.